ACUCCUACGGGAGGCAGCGGCGAGGAAUAUUGCGCAAUGGACGAAAGUCUGACGCAGCGACGCCGCGUGGAGGAUGAAGGUCUUCGGAUUGUAAACUCCUUUUGCAGGGGAAGAUAAUGACGGUACCCUGCGAAUAAGCCACGGCUAACUCUGUGCCAGCAGCCGCGGUAAU
Molecule: ribosomal RNA, 172 nt
Filed under: uncultured bacterium
Lineage: Bacteria
Description: partial 16S ribosomal RNA
Rfam family: Bacterial small subunit ribosomal RNA
Source: RNAcentral